This is a long non-coding RNA of Saccoglossus kowalevskii, 412 nucleotides long. The record is from RefSeq and is a predicted model, not a curated record. NCBI's taxonomy places the organism in Eukaryota, Metazoa, Hemichordata, Enteropneusta, Harrimaniidae.
GUUUUUCUAGACAGAGCCGCUGCAUUGGGUCAAGAUUUGUCCAGAAUACCGUACAGAGAGACAAACUGGAGGGGCACAAAGACAAGAAGCAGAGAUGGAACUCUUUCUAGGCAUUCUGGUAUUGAUUAUAAAGAAAUCAAACUCGGAACCAAAAUAAAUUCCAACCAUACAGGAGAGUUGUGGAAAGGUAUGUGGCAAGGCACCGAAGUGAUGACAAAGAUAUUGAAAUUCAACACUAUAACAUCAAGAAUACCAAGAGAAUUUGGAGAAGAAUUUCCAAGGCUGAGAAUCUUUUCACAUCCAAACAUAUUACCAGUUUUAGGAUGUUGUAAUCAUCCACCGAAUCUAUUGGUGUUGAAUGAAUAUAUGCCGUUUGGAUCACUGUAUAAUGUACUCCAUGAAGGCGCAGGUA